AAACCAGCACCUCAAGUGGUCAGGAUGAUUAUUGGGCCUAAAGCAUCCGUAGCCGGCUCUGUAAGUUUUCGGUUAAAUCUGUACGCUUAACGUACAGGCUGCUGGGAAUACUGCAGAGCUAGGGAGUGGGAGAGGUAGACGGUACUCGGGAGGAAGUGGUAAAAUGCUUUGAUCUCUCGAUGACCACCUGUGGCGAAGGCGGUCUACCAGAACACGUCCGACGGUGAGGGAUGAAAGCUGGGGGAGCAAACCGGAUUAGAUACCCGAGUAGUCC
This 274-nucleotide ribosomal RNA is filed under the name uncultured bacterium. Its description in RNAcentral is "partial 16S ribosomal RNA". It matches the Rfam family "Archaeal small subunit ribosomal RNA", at positions 473 to 747 of the family's 1478-position model. The record is from RNAcentral.